Molecule: ribosomal RNA, 4911 nt
Filed under: Metschnikowia similis
Lineage: Eukaryota; Fungi; Ascomycota; Pichiomycetes; Serinales; Metschnikowiaceae
Source: RNAcentral
AGGUGAUAUAUUGAAAAAUGGUAUAUGUAAUUAAUAUUAUUUUAAGGAUUAUAAAUCAAAAUUUAUAAAUGAUAAAAAGAUUAACUGAAAAGUAAUCAAUCAUAAUCAUGAAAAUGAUAAAAAAUAAAAACAAGUGGAAUGAAACAUCUGAGUAACUUGUAAAAUAACCAACAGGGAUAAUAUAAGUAACGGUGAGUGAAAGUAUUAGAAUCUUAAAGUAUUACCAAGAGGUAAGAAUAUAGUAGUUUCCAACUACUAAGAAAAGAAAAUAAAUUUUAGAUUAAAGUACCGCAAGGGAAAGUAAGAAAAUAGAAUAAUAAAGAGCAAUCAUUGAAUGGUGUACCUCUUGUAUAAUGGGCCAGUGAGUUAUAUAUUUUAGUGAGAUUAAAUUCGAAUAUAAAUAGAAAUUAAUUAAAGUAUAUAGGCCCGAAAGCAAACGAUCUACACAUGCCCAAGUGUAUAUAAAACCUUAUAAGGUAUAUAUAUGACUCAAUAGGUAAUUGUAGCAAUAAUUUCUAAAGAGGUGUGUGUAGCUGUGACAGACAAAUCUGGUUUGCAGAUAGCUGGUUUUCUGCGAAAUAUAUUUUAGUAUAGCCUUUAUAAUCUGUUAAAUUAACAGACAUUUAAACUGGUACAGCACUUAAAUACCUUUGGGGAAUUAGAAUAUAAUUUUAUCAAAAUAUUUAAACCUCGGAAUCAGUGAAUAAUGAAAUAUAAGGAGUCAGACUUAUUGCGAUAAGGUAGUAAGUCGAGAAGGAAACAACCUAGACUAUUAAAUGAAUGUCCCAAAUAUUAAUUAAGUGAAUAAAAUCUAUCCUACUUUAAUUUUUAUGUUAAUAAAAAUCAAAAGUUAAAAUCAUAUGAUUUUACAUUAUUAUAUAUAAAUGCCGGCCUUCGGCCGGCAUUUAUAAGCCUAAUCUUUUAGGCCAUAAUAUACGGGGUAUUAAAUUAUAGACAAUUAGUAAGUGGGUUUGACAAUAAUCAACUUUUAAUGAACAUGUAACAAUGCACUAAUUUUAUAUAUAUAUAUAUAUAAUUUUAUAUAUAUAUUUAUUAAUAAUAGAGAAAAUAUAUCGGGUCUAAAUUAAUAACAGUAUUAUAGAUAUAAUCAUAAAGAUUAUAUGGUAGCAGAAUAUAUAAUGGAAAAUUAUAAAGAGAUUGCUGGCUUGAGUAACGAUAGAUAAUAUAAGAUUAUCCCCUUAUUCAUAAGGUUUUACUAUAAACGAACGGUCCCUAAGAUUAAUAUAGAAAUAUAUAAUUAAUGGGUAAAAGAACAAGAAAAUAAAAAUGAACCGUACUGUAGACCGACACAGGUAUGAUAAAAAGGGAAUGGGAUAACUACUUUGAAUGAACUCGGCGUGCGACUUGAUAAGUCUUAAUUAAUAGUAUAACAUUUUGGUUAUAUUGUGUAUCUUCCACAUUUGUCUACUUAAACAUGGAUUAUAAGUAAUUAUUUUGUAUGAAGCUUUAAGGAAUAAGUUAUUUAUUAAAAUAACUUGACACGAUACUUAUGGUGAAUGAAAAUGAAUCGAAUGUUUGAACAAUCGUAAUUAUAUUAAUAUGGGCCCCCGAAGGGGGCCCUUAUAAUACCCCCCUUCGGGGGGAUAUAUUAGGUAAUUGAUUUAAGUAUGUCGAGUGCUUAAAUGAAGAUCAAAUAAUACCAACGAUUGAUAAUUCGGCACCUAAAAGUUGAACUGAUAUUAAUUAAGGAACAAGGUAAGCCCAAUAUUUCUCAUAAAAAAAAAGAUAGAUAAUUUAUUUACCCGCCCACUUUAUGUGGGCGGGUUUUUAUCUUUAUUUAUGAGUAGUUUAUUAUAAAAUAAGUAAUUAUGGAAAUAUAAAUAUAUAAUAUUGGGUAAAAGAUAAUUGAAAAAGCAAAUGCUUAGUGGUAAUAACUAAGAUAGGAAUAAUUAUUCUAAUCCGAGAGGGUGCAGACUUCAAUUAGAUGACUCGCUAUUAAAAAUUAAUAGAGGUAACAAUAAAGGAAAAAUAAACAUAAAAUAACCUUCACUAUGUGAGAGUUAUCUCGGUAAAAAAGCUGAGUAAAAUUUUAUGUAAAAGAUACUAUAAAGUUACUGAAUAAUUGGGAAAACCAAUGAAAAAGGAGUUGUUUGAGCCGUAUGCGAUGAAAGUCGCAUGUACGGUUCUGAACGGGGGAAAAUCUGUGAGGAUCUACCUAUCGUAAUAAAAUAAAUCGUGCGACUGUUUACCAAAAACAUAGCUUAUUGCAUACUAGUAAUAGUAAGUAUAAUAAGUGAUAUCUGCCCGGUGUUAGUUUAAUAAAUAUUAUUAUUGUUUAGAUAAUUUUAUAAAAGACUGAUAAACGGCGGUCUUAUUGUGAGGAUCCGAAGGUAGCGGUGCGACAAGAUAAGUUCAUAAUAAGAAUAAGGUGAAAAUCCUUUACAAUUGUCAUAUUUGUAAACCUAACUCAACAUGCAUUAUAAGUAAUUAAUUUGUAUGAAGCUUGAGUGACAACGGCUAUAAACUUUAACUGAUAUAAGUGAUCUAGUCUAGGUUAGAACAACAUGAUUAGUAAAAACUAAAUAGUGUAUUAAAAUCUCGUUAUAGGUAAGUAACUUGUUCAGUAUUUGGUUACUUUAUGAUUAAAAUAAUAUUGACGCUACGAAUAUUAUUAUAUGACUGAAAUAAAAAAAUAUAAUCAUCGGGAUAUAGCUAUAAUCUAAAUUGUUCAUAAAGGUCUUAUUAUGGAAACUUGGUAAGCCUUAUACAUACCUAAUUUAAAUACCCCGCAUAUGCGGGGUUAUAUUUAGGAAGUAAUAUAUAAUAUUAAUGAACUCCCCGCCCACCAAAGGUGGGCGGGCUUUAUUUAAUAGAAAUUAUUAUAUAGUGUAGAAGGUAAAGGAUAAAUAUAAAAAGCUAAUGAUUUUAUGUAAUGUAAAAUAUAAAGUUAUUUAACUUAUUUCGAAAGAAAGCUGACUUAUAUAUAAGGCCAUUAAAAAAAAAAAUAAUAUAACAUUAUAAAUAAACGGUUUCCUUUAAGGGGCCCAUGUUUAUAAAAAGUUAUAUUAUAUUUAAGAUAAAAUAAUCAAGAUGAAAUCUUGAUGAUUAGGGGGGCCGUAGGCCCCCCCAUUAUGCCUACUAUAUAAAAAAAUAUAUAUCUAUUUUUUUUUAUGGAUAUAAGUAUAAUAGGGAAAUCUUAAAAAAUGGUUUGAGCCGUAUGCGAUGAAAGUCGCACGUACGGUUCUUAAGGGGGGAAAGCUUGAGAGGGCCUACCUAUCCUAACAAAUUCAUUGACGUAUAAUUGACGUCCUGCAUGAAUGAAUAUACGAUGCGAUAACUGUAUCCAAAGUAGACUCAGUGAAAUAGCAAUUGCGGUGAAAUUAGUACUAUAAUAUAUCUAUAUUAUACGCCGGGUUGGUGAAAAUCCAACUUUAUAGUUAAAAUACCCCCGCUAAGCGGGGGGGAUUUAAAAGUAUUAAAGAAUUAUCCGGUAUUUUCCGACAUAAUAAUUCAAAAAAAGAAUACAAUCGAAUAAUACUUAAUCCUUUAAAAGGGAUAAAUAACCCCGCCCACCUUUGGUGGGCGGGGAUGAUUAAUCCUCGGCUACGCCGGAGGAUAAAUUACAAAAGGCAAAAUGUAAUUUAAUAACUAUAAAUAAAAAGGUGAAAACGGUUAAUGAUAUCUUAGUUAAAGACCGUCGGCAGUUGUAUAUGUCGCUACAGACUGGUUCACCGAGGUUAGACUGAAAUGUCUGUCUAAAUGUACAGUCGGAUUCUGUAAUAUAAUAGAUAAAUAUAUGGGCCCGCCUUCGGCGGGCCUAAUGAUAUAUUUAUUUUUAUAUAAAGGUGAAAGAUUUAUCUAUUAUUUAGAUAUAACUUAUUAGUACAUAAGUAAGAAACCUUUGUAGGUCAAACCUACUUAAGUUAAUCAGAAUUGGAAGAUGCCGUAUUUCCGUAGGUUGACAAAAAGACCCUAUGCAGCUUUACUAUAUCUUUAUUUUGAUUUUUUAAUCAUAAUUUAAUUAUGAUUAACCCUUUUUUUAUUUAUUUCAGCAGAUUAGGUUAUAUUUAUAUUUUAAAUCAAAUGAGAUACCUAUAUAAAUAAAAAAAGAAUCUAAUUAAUAUAGUCAAAAUUCAAUAAAAAUUGAAUUGCCCUUAAAAAGGGUUAUUAAUAAACUAAUGACUUAAGUUUUAACUUAUUUAAGAAAGAGUAAAGAGGUUAGUUUCGAUGGGGCGUCGACAUCAGCGAAAGCAUCUGAUGUGUCUAAUAACAAAGAUCUUGAAUAUCAAGACUAAAUGUUUAAUUAAAUUAUUUAUUUAAUAGUAAAUAACGUACAAUAAUUCUAUAUGGUAAAUAGAAUAAAAAGAUAUGAUAGGUAUUACCUAUUUUUAAAUUUUAUCUUAUCCCCGCUAAGCUUAGCGGGGUAUAUAAGUAAGGAUAACAACAUAAUUGUGCGAUGAUAAUAACACAAACAAGUGGAAUUAGUACUUACGUAGAGUGUAGUGAACAGGCAUAAACAAAUGGUAUGGAUGUCGAUAACGGAUUAACCGCGUGAGAGUUGAUAUCGUCAGCGGUGUUUGCCACCUCGAUGUCGUCUAGACUCGUCCUCCUGGUCGCAGCAACUAGGUAGGGUAGGACUGUUCGUCCUCUAAGGAGUUACUUGAGAUGGGUUAAUUACGACGUGAGUCAGUAAUGAUUUUAUCAUCUAUGGAUUUUUUUCUUAUCUGUUGCCUUAAGUGUACGCAAGGAUAAUAAGGUACAUUCCUAUGGUUAAUUAUUUAAUUUAGCUAAGAAUGUUGUGUUUACAUAUUGAAUGCAUAUCAAAUAUUAAAUCCUUCAGAUAAGUUUAUACAUUAUAGACUAUAAUGUUUUAGUUAAUUUGUGAUUUUCGCAUAUUUACUAAUUAAAUUAUUUAUAAUACUUAUAUUAUAAAUUAAAAUACAUAUACCU